This 648-nucleotide long non-coding RNA is filed under the name Phasianus colchicus (ring-necked pheasant). Its description in RNAcentral is "lncRNA (ENSPCLG00000017255.1)". The record is from RNAcentral. Lineage: Eukaryota; Metazoa; Chordata; Aves; Galliformes; Phasianidae.
CCCUACUGGACCUGCCAGGACCUUUCCAGCCCUACCGGACCUGCCAGGACCUUUCCAACCUCACCAGACCUGCCAGGACCUUCCCAACCUGACCGUUUGUUCCUUGACCUGCAAAGACUCUUCCAAGCCAAUCAUACCUGCAAGGACCUUUUCCAACACAAUCAUUCCCUUUUUGACCUUCAAGGACCUUCCCACCCCAACCAUCCCCUCUUUGACCUUCAAGGACCCUCCCAACCCACCAUUCCCUCUUUAACCUUCAAGGACCCUUUCUAUCCAACCAUCCCAUGCUUCCACGAUCUUCAAGGACCCUCCCAACCCACCAUUCUCUCUUUAACCUUCAAGGACCCUUUCUAUCCAACCAUCCCAUGCUUCCACGACCUCCAGGGCCCUCCCAACCCACCCAUUCCCUCUUUAAUCUUCAAAGACCCUUCCAACCCAACCCCCCCCCACCACCACCCCAUCUACCGAUGGCCGUGGUUCUGGUGAUGGUGGUGGUGCCAUUUUGGGGGGGGGUCCCGUUACCCACCGCUGUGCUGCAGCUGCCCGUUGUCCCGGGGGUCCCAGCGCUCCUCCUUGCGCCGCGCGCCGCUGACGAUGACGUAAUCGCAGCCUGCGGGGUCCGUCUGCAGCUCAAUGUGGUUCACACAC